This 90-nucleotide transfer RNA is filed under the name bacterium. Its description in RNAcentral is "tRNA-Ser". It matches the Rfam family "tRNA". From Rfam's summary of the family: Transfer RNA (tRNA) molecules are approximately 80 nucleotides in length. The record is from RNAcentral. RNAcentral also lists the same sequence under 2 other names.
GGAGGGGUGGCCGAGCGGUCGAAGGCGCUCGACUGGAAAUCGAGUGUAUCCCCAAAAGGGAUACCGCGGGUUCGAAUCCCGCCUCCUCCG